Molecule: ribosomal RNA, 207 nt
Filed under: uncultured bacterium
Lineage: Bacteria
Description: partial 16S ribosomal RNA
Rfam family: Bacterial small subunit ribosomal RNA
Source: RNAcentral
AGCGCAGACGGUUUAUUAAGUCUGAUGUGAAAGCCCGGAGCUCAACUCCGGAAUGGCAUUGGAAACUGGUUAACUUGAGUGCAGUAGAGGUAAGUGGAACUCCAUGUGUAGCGGUGGAAUGCGUAGAUAUAUGGAAGAACACCAGUGGCGAAGGCGGCUUACUGGACUGCAACUGACGUUGAGGCUCGAAAGUGUGGGUAGCAAACA